RNAcentral lists this transfer RNA (73 nucleotides) under Bacteroidota bacterium. RNAcentral describes it as "tRNA-Met". It matches the Rfam family "tRNA". Rfam says of the family: Transfer RNA (tRNA) molecules are approximately 80 nucleotides in length. The record is from RNAcentral. Lineage: Bacteria; Pseudomonadati; Bacteroidota.
CGCGGAGUAGAGCAGUUGGUAGCUCGUCGGGCUCAUAACCCGGAGGUCGUAGGUUCGAGUCCUGCCUCCGCAA